GACGAACGCUGGCGGCGUGCCUAAUACAUGCAAGUAGAACGCUGAAGGAAGGAGCUUGCUCUUUCUGGAUGAGUUGCGAACGGGUGAGUAACGCGUAGGUAACCUGCCUGGUAGCGGGGGAUAACUAUUGGAAACGAUAGCUAAUACCGCAUAAAAUUGAUUAUUGCAUGAUAGUCAAUUAAAAGGUGCAACUGCACCACUACCAGAUGGACCUGCGUUGUAUUAGCUAGUUGGUGGGGUAACGGCUCACCAAGGCGACGAUACAUAGCCGACCUGAGAGGGUGAUCGGCCACACUGGGACUGAGACACGGCCCAGACUCCUACGGGAGGCAGCAGUAGGGAAUCUUCGGCAAUGGACGGAAGUCUGACCGAGCAACGCCGCGUGAGUGAAGAAGGUUUUCGGAUCGUAAAGCUCUGUUGUAAGAGAAGAACGAGUGUGAGAGUGGAAAGUUCACACUGUGACGGUAUCUUACCAGAAAGAGACGGCUAACUACGUG
RNAcentral lists this ribosomal RNA (497 nucleotides) under uncultured bacterium. RNAcentral describes it as "partial 16S ribosomal RNA". It matches the Rfam family "Bacterial small subunit ribosomal RNA", at positions 28 to 507 of the family's 1533-position model. The record is from RNAcentral.